UCUGACCUGUUAGUAGCAUGGUGGGCCACAGCACUGUGCUGUGCUGUGAGCCUGGUCUGUCUCCAUCUAAGUUUCUUUAAUGAGAAAACAAAUAAAAUAUUCAAAAAAGAAAUUUUUUUUUUUUUUUUUUGAGACAGAGUCUCGCUCUGUCGCCCAGGCUGGAGUGCAGUGGCGCGAUCUCGGCUCACUGCAAGCUCCGCCUCCCGCGUUCACGUCGUUCUCCACCUCAGCCUCCCGAGUAGCUGGGACUACAUGCGCCCGCCAUCACACCAGGCUAAUUUUUUGUAUUUUUAGUAGAGACGGGGUUUCACCGUGUUAGCCAGGAUGGUCUCGAUCUCCUGACCUCGUGAUCCACCCGCCUCAGCCUCCCAAAGUGCUGGGAUUACAGGCGUGAGCUACUGCGCCCGGCCUAAAAUAUAUAUUAUGUGUAUAUACAUAGAUUUUUAAUUUAAUAAUAUUCCAUUGCUUAGAUGUACCACAGUUCAUUCAUCAGUUGAAAGGCCUUUGAGAUGCUCCCUCUUUGGGCAAUUAUGAAUAAUGUCACAAUCAACAUUUGCAUGCAGAUUUUGUGUGAACAUAAGAGUAAUUUCUCUUGGACUGGCAUGCCUGCUUUGUAUGGACAACUUUGUGUAGAAUUGAUAGUAUUAUUCCUUAAAUAUUUUGCAAAUUCAAGAAUGAAGUUAUCCAGAUUUUGAGUUACAAGACUUGUGAAAAGCAUGAAAUUUUACCCUACUUGCAGGAUUGGUGAAGUGCUAAUAUUUAUUCCACUCCUGUCUUCUGAGCUCUAACCAAAUUGAGAACAACUACAAAAAAUGAGGUUCUCUCAACACACCAGUGAUAUAAGUAUAAAAAUUUUUGUUUGCCAUGAAAUAAUUCAUAUCAGUCGUGAAAACCCUAGUGGCUGUCACCAGUAGAUAACAUAU
This 923-nucleotide long non-coding RNA is filed under the name Homo sapiens (human). RNAcentral's name for it is "HSALNT0150344". The record is from RNAcentral. Lineage: Eukaryota; Metazoa; Chordata; Mammalia; Primates; Hominidae.